Molecule: non-coding RNA, 179 nt
Submitted as: unclassified sequences
Source: Rfam
UCCCAUGGCGGCAGGCCACUCCACUUUCUGGUCUGCGGCACAUGAAAAAAGGAGGAAAAAAACGCCCGGGCUCGGGCUGCGGCAGUGUGGAGACCUGCCGUAACGCGGCGCAUCCCGAAGCGGAUGACCGCGAGGGCGCUUCUUGCGGAGGCAGAGCGUCCGGAGCCGAAAAUAUGGCA